Molecule: ribosomal RNA, 457 nt
Filed under: uncultured bacterium
Lineage: Bacteria
Description: bacterial SSU rRNA
Rfam family: Bacterial small subunit ribosomal RNA
Source: RNAcentral
UACGGGAGGCAGCAGUGGGGAAUAUUGCACAAUGGGCGAAAGCCUGAUGCAGCUAUGCCGCGUGUAUGAAGAAGGCCUUAGGGUUGUAAAGUACUUUCAUCGGGGAGGAAAAAACAAAACUAAUAAUUUUAUUUCUUGACGUUACCCGAAAAAGAAGCACCGGCUAACUCCGUGCCAGCAGCCGCGGUAAUACGGAGGGUGCUAGCGUUAAUCAGAAUUACUGGGCGUAAAGAGCACGUAGGUGGUUUUUUUAAGUUCAGAUGUGAAAUCCCUGGGCUUAACCUAGGAACUGCAUUUUGAAACUGAAAUACUAGAGUAUCGUAGAGGGAGGUAGAAUUCUAGGUGUAGCGGUGAAAUGCGUAGAUAUCUGGAGGAAUACCUGUGGCGAAAGCGGCCUCCUAAACGAAUACUGACACUGAGGCGCGAAAGCGUGGGGAGCAAACAGGGAUUAGAUACC